CUACGGGCGGCUCCAGUUAGGAAUAUUCUACAAUGCGCGCAAGCGUGAUAGAUUGAGUCAGAGUGCGCUUCAAUUUUGGAGUGCUUUUGUGGAAUCUAAAAAGUUCUACGAAUAAGGACUGGGUAAGACUAGUGCCAGCCGCCGCGGUAAUACUAGCGGUCCAAGUCGCAGCCAUUUUUAUUGGGUCUAAAACAUCCGUAGCUUGUUAAUUAAGUUCCUUGUGAAAUUCUGUAUCUCAAAUACAGAGCGGGCAAGGAGUACUGAUUAACUAGAGACUGGAAGACGUAAGAAGUACGUUCAGAGUAGCGGUUAUAUGUGUUAAUCCUGGACGGACUCACAACAGCGAAGGCAUCUUACGAGGACAGUUCUGACAGUAAGGGAUGAAGGCUAGGGGCGCAAAACGGAUUAGAUACCCUCGUAGUC
Molecule: ribosomal RNA, 423 nt
Filed under: uncultured archaeon
Lineage: Archaea
Description: partial 16S ribosomal RNA
Rfam family: Archaeal small subunit ribosomal RNA
Source: RNAcentral